AUUGAACGCUGGCGGCAUGCCUUACACAUGCAAGUCGAACGGCAGCACGGGUGCUUGCACCUGGUGGCGAGUGGCGAACGGGUGAGUAAUACAUCGGAACGUACCUUAUCGUGGGGGAUAACGCAGCGAAAGCUGUGCUAAUACCGCAUACGCCCUGAGGGGGAAAGCGGGGGAUCGAAAGACCUCGCGCGAUUAGAGCGGCCGAUGCCUGAUUAGCUUGUUGGUGGGGUAAAAGCCCACCAAGGCGACGAUCAGUAGCUGGUCUGAGAGGACGCUCAGCCACACUGGGACUGAGACACGGCCCAGACUCCUGCGGGAGGCAGAAGUGGGGAAUUUUGGACAAUGGGGGGAACCCGGAUCCAGCAAUGCCGCGUGAGUGAAGAAGGCCUUCGGGUUGUAAAGCUCUUUUGUCAGGGAAGAAACACCGGCUCUAACACAGUCCGGGAAUGACGGUACCUGAAGAAUAAGCACCGGCUAACUACGUGCCAGCAGCCGCCGUAA
This 501-nucleotide ribosomal RNA is filed under the name uncultured bacterium. RNAcentral describes it as "partial 16S ribosomal RNA". It matches the Rfam family "Bacterial small subunit ribosomal RNA", at positions 29 to 523 of the family's 1533-position model. The record is from RNAcentral.